UGCCCCCCCAGAGACCUCUUGAGGCCCAGGCAGCAUCUCCGGUCCAUCCAGCUGCAUGAGGAGACGUAAGAACUGACCGUCUAGUGAGACCACUGAGUCGCAGCCACUGCAGUGGCAACCUCCCCAUGGACCAAGAGAUCCUCCAAACACCUCUUCCAUGGGCCCAAAGUGAGACCGACUUCCAUCUUCUCAUCUCCAAAAGAUCAUUAUUAUAUGGGGCAGGAAAAAGAGGGAUAUUUGAGACCAGGUCAUGACAGCUUUCGCCUGUCUCCAACUUUAUCUGCUAGCGUGUCUAUACCUCUCCAAAUUCCAGAAGACCUUUCCUUCCUCAGUCUGAGAGAGUCUCCAUUCUGAAGGGAAACAUCCUUACCUUUGUGGGUAAGACUGAAGUCUGAAGCAACUUAGAAAAGGUCAUACCCAUGAAAACAAGCCCAAAUUACUCUGGUCUCAGCUGAGUUCUUCAAAAAGCUAGAUGGAUAGAGCACUAGGCCCGGAGGUAAAAAGACCUGAGUUCAAAUCCAGCCUCAGACACUGAACAGCUGUGCAUCCCUGGAAAUACACUCAUCAACAGAGAAAGGCCCAUCCAGAGGAAGAGAAGGACUGAGAAGGAUACUGAGAUUGGCAGAGGAGGGAGACAGAGAUACGUAUGCUCCAUCCUCUUCACUCCCAACUCCCCCCAACCCUGCACAGGCCAGCCAGGUUCUGCCCAUGAAGAGUCCACCUCCCGGCUGAACUCACCUGCCCUUGCUGCUAUUUCUGAACUCGGGAAGCUAAAAAUAGAAGAGCUGCAUGGUGGAAAUCUCAGAGAAACUGAGGCCUGAAACUUCAUGUUACACUACAUUCUAGGAGGUCCACAGGAGCCACACUGCUCCACCCAGGACGGCAGCAUGGAAGAAGGUCACUAUUGGCUGGGCAGGAGUCAAUAAUCAUGCCAUUUGCGCUCUUCACAAGCUGGCUUCAUCCUACCUUUUCAGCUUUGUUAUCCGUGGUCCAGCCUCCUUGACCAAGCUGCCUGCUCUCACAUGGCUGAGAGGCUCCCCCUCUCACCUUGGCCUCUGUGAAUCCUGGUCUCCAAGACUCGGUCCGAGUGUCACCUUCUGAAUAAGCCUUUCCUGGGUCCCCCACUUAUAACUUUCUCCCACCACCUCCAAGUUACUUGGUUGAACAUAUUUUGAACACCUCUACAUGUUGUCAGACAUACUGUCAGCUUCUUGAAGUCACAGAUUGUUUUCAGUUUGUCUUUGUGGCA
Molecule: non-coding RNA, 1249 nt
Organism: Phascolarctos cinereus (koala)
Lineage: Eukaryota; Metazoa; Chordata; Mammalia; Diprotodontia; Phascolarctidae
Source: RefSeq, a predicted model, not a curated record